This 198-nucleotide ribosomal RNA is filed under the name uncultured bacterium. Its description in RNAcentral is "partial 16S ribosomal RNA". It matches the Rfam family "Bacterial small subunit ribosomal RNA", at positions 328 to 539 of the family's 1533-position model. The record is from RNAcentral.
ACGCUCGACACCUACGGGNGGCAGCAGUGGGGAAUAUUGCACAAUGGAGGAAACUCUGAUGCAGCGAUGCCGCGUGAGGGAAGAAGGUUUUCGGAUUGUAAACCUCUGUCUUUGGGGACGAUAAUGACGGUACCCAAGGAGGAAGCUCCGGCUAACUACGUGUCAGCAGCCGCGGUAAUCUGAGCGGGCUGGCAAGGC